UACUCUAUAGCUCAGUGGUUAGAGCACUGGUCUUGUGAACCAGGGAUCGUGAGUUCAGUUCUCACUGGGGUCUAA
Non-coding RNA from Physella acuta, 75 nucleotides. Lineage: Eukaryota; Metazoa; Mollusca; Gastropoda; Physidae. The record is from the annotation of a RefSeq genome assembly.